AGACUCGCCUGAUCGUGGUGGGCAACAAGCACGAUCUGGUCGAGAAGCUGUCGGCCGAAGACACGUCGGGGAUUUCGACCGAGCACCUCAAAAGCGUGGCCGGUGGCCUGGGUGUGCCCUGGUACCUCACCAGUGCCAAGACCGGAGAGGCAGUGGAAGAGAUCUUUCGACACCUGGGCCAGAUGCUGGUGAGCUAGGCGCCAGGCAAGAGACAUGGUCACACCGCUGCUCCAGGCCAUUCUGCACGAUCGCAAGCUGGCCUAUGCCCUCACCGACCGAGCCCUGUGCGUGGUGGAGGUAGGCGGCGAGCUAACCAUCCUACAGCCCGCGCACGAUACCUGGCCCGGCCGGACGCUCCUCGACCUGGUGCCAGAGCUGGUGGGUAGUGAGGACGCCCUCGCCGCCAUACUGACCGGGUCCAUGCCCAGUUUCGAGCUGCCCUUUCUCAACCGCGAAUCGACCUGCGGCGAGCCAAGCUACAUUACCAUCGUCGAGCUGCCAUACCUCGGCGCCGAUGGGCAAAUCUCCGGAUUGCUGCACCUGGUUCAAGACAAGACCGAGGCUGGCACGCUCAGGCAGCAGUUGAGCCAGCAACAUAACCAGGUGCGCCUGGCGCAGGCUGAGCUGGACAGCCGUAACCACCAGGUCGCCGCGGCCAAUGCCGAGCUGCAGCGCUUGAAUGACAUCAAAUCGACAUUUGUGUCGGUGGCCGCCCACGAGCUGCGCACGCCGCUGACUGCCAUUCAGGGGUACGCGGAAAUGCUGCUGGAAGAAGAGGCCGGCACCCUGACCGGGAUCCAGCGCGAGUACCUGCACAUUGUGCAUCAGGCUGCGGACCGCUUGUGGCACAUUACUGAGAGCCUGCUCACUGUGACCCGCAUCGAGGCGGGCCAGAUGGACCUGGUUUUGUUACCUACCGACCUGUUCGCGCUCAUCCAGUCGGUCGUAACCGAGCUUGAGCCUCAACUGAAAGCCAAAGGCCAGCAUUGGGUCAUUACUCAAGCCCCUGACCUCCCCCUGGCCUUGUGUGAUCGGCUGCGAGUCGAACAGAUUAUUGCCAACCUGCUGAGCAACGCCAUCAAGUACACACC
RNAcentral lists this ribosomal RNA (1091 nucleotides) under uncultured anaerobic bacterium. RNAcentral describes it as "partial 16S ribosomal RNA". The record is from RNAcentral.